This 5857-nucleotide long non-coding RNA is filed under the name Triticum aestivum (bread wheat). RNAcentral describes it as "long non-coding RNA (TAES_LNC012434)". The record is from RNAcentral. Lineage: Eukaryota; Viridiplantae; Streptophyta; Magnoliopsida; Poales; Poaceae.
CCAAACUUUAUCUUUCCCUUAUAGUUUGUCUGCAUGGGAUUCCAAAGACUAUAAUAUCCGACAGAGACGCUCAAUUCGUCUCAAGAUUUUGGGAUCAUUUACAACAAGCUCUGGAAACUCAACUAGUAUUCAGUACAGUAUACCACCCCCAGACUGGAGGACAAACUGAACAUGUGAACCAAAUUCUAGAGGACAUGCUAAGAGCAUGUGUUCUCACCUAUGAAACCAGUUGGAAAGAAAGCCUGUCAUAUACCGAGUUCGCAUACAACAACAGUUACCAAGCCAAUCUACAAAUGGCACCUUUUGAAGCCUUGUACGGGCGAAGAUGUCGUACCCCAUUAAAUUGGUCAGAAACAGGAGACAGUCGUAUCUUCGGCCCCGACAUACUCAAGCAAGCUGGGGAGAAAGUUAGACUAAUCAGGGAUCGACUCAAGACAGCCCAGAGCCGACAAAAGAGUUAUUACGAUCAAAAGCAUCAUGAAAUCAGAUUUGAACCUGGUGAAUAUGUGUAUCUACGAGUAUCUUCUAUGAGGAGCCUGCAAUGAUUCAAAGUUAAAAGAAAGCUAGCUCCACGGUUUAUUGGACCCUUUUGUGUGACUGCGCGAAGAGGCACAGUAGCCUACCAGCUAGACCUCCCCAAAGUAUUGUCAGACGUACACGACAUGUUUUACAUCUCACAGUUGAGGAAAUGUGUAAGCAACCCAAAGAAGCAUGUAUCUCAUGAGAACAUUGACAUACAACCAGACCUCACCUACACGGAACGACCAAUAAAAAUAUUGGAGAAGUCCGAAAAAAGGACCCGUCAGAAAACAAUUAAGUUUUUUAAGGUUCAGUGAACUAAUCACAACAAAGAUGAAUUAACAUGGGAAGGAGAGGAUUUUCUUCGGACAGAGUACCCACACCUAUUUGAGGAUCAGCUAAAAUCUCGGGGACGAGAUUUUUCCUAAGGGGUAGGUGUUGUAACACUUCAAAAAAUUUGAUUUGGUUUUGAUCAAAUUCUCUAAUUAAUUGGAAGGAGGUUAUUUAAUGUUUUAAAAAAAGACUCUCCUUCUCAAAAAAAAAAUUCUAUGACAAUUUUUUUAUGGGUUCUUCCCAACCUUGAUUUUUGGUUUUGAGGUUUUUCAUCUUGCGUUGGCUCAACACAAAUAAUUUUGAAGGGUUUAUACAAUUCCUUUUUAUUAAAAAAGUAUUCCUAUAAAUUAUGAAUUUAUUCUUCCCCAUUCAAAAGAUUUCUCUUUUACCAUGACCUAUGUGAAAACUUUCUUCCAAACCAACCCCACUUUGGGUCAACCCAAGCAUCCAAUUCCAGCAAGUUUCAACUUCCCCUAGAUUUUAUUUCUAUUUAUUUUAACUCAAAAUCCUUUCUGUCAUUUAAUUUGAACCUUAGAGAUUUACAAAGGAACUGCCAAAUUUCUUUUGAGUUUUGACUCCAAAUAAACUCCUCUAGCUAGUCCUUAGCACCCUCAACCAAGAUUCAUCAAGAUCUGCUGGCUUACGGUUUAAAUUUUUCAAAAUUUGCUUGCUGCAAAUUUGGACCAGAUUUAUCAUUUUUGAUGAAAUUCAUUCUUUUUCUUUUCCUAAAAAUCUAAGAUAAUUCAGGCAGUCUCCAGAUGCAUCAAGAGAUCACCUCACCAAGGAUCAGCUCAAGGAAAAUUUUCCACGUGCCUAAAUCAUUUCGUCGAGCAGCAGAUGUGCACUUUUUCUGUCAAAUUCGAAAAAGUUCAGUGUUCAGUUUUCAGUGCCAGUGUCGUCUUCUUCAGAACCCCGGCGUCAAUCUCGACAGUGCACGCGUUGGCACCUUGCUCACUGCUCCCCCUUCUUAUCCAUCGCGUUGCACGGUCAUCUGAACGAAUGCGAGCGUCGGCGGUGAGCUAGCAGGAGUACAUUGCCCACGUGAGCGACGGCAGCAACGUUCACUGCGGCCACCAGAGAGGCUCAGCGUGGUAUGGCGCCGUCCAACACCGCCAACACCACCAGGAGCCGCCGCGUGGCCGUCCCCUUCCCCGUGCGUGCUGCAGAACCAUCGCCGUGGCUUGAGAGGCGCAGAGCGCGCUCUCUGCCGCCGACGUGCUCGUGAGGCCGUUUCGUCGAAGGCCUGGAGUAUCGCCCAAGUUGUACCAAGAUUAGCUAUUGAAUGAAGCCAGUGGACCAAUCCGAAGACGCCCAAUCACCUAAACCUCCAGCCCGACCACUGCCUCAUCGUAAUCACUCGCCGGAGUAAUCCCGUUCUCGGCAACCGCCUCGGGCCGGCUAUAAAUGGAGGUCCCGAGCUCGCCUUCGACCCAGCACCACUCCUCCACUUCACCAGGACCACGACCAGCCACCAGAAGGACCUCGAGGAGGCCUUCUUCCCCGACUCCGGCUGCCCCGAUCCGCUUCGGGCUCCGGCAAGGUUCUCUCUAGUGAGAGCACACCCGCCCCCCAAACCGCGUCAGUAGCCUCCUAGUACUCCCACUCCUCUAACCCGCGCUUCAAUUUGGCAUCUGCAGCCCUCCUCGGUGAGAUCCAUCCUCGACCAAACCACCAUCCGUCGAAGAGGAGGCCACCGUCGACGUGGUGCUCGCCGACGACCAACUCCACCACCCACAGACGCGGGAGAGCUCCGUGAGUCCGUAGGUACCAUCCACUCCACCUGCCUCGCCGUGGAUCGCCGCCGGCGACCACCGCGAGCCUCGGGCGCCGGCGGGACUCUGUUCUGAUAUUUAAACCUGACGGGUGGGACCCCCUCGUCAGCCUUUUCUCUUUUAUUCGAAACGUUUUCUGAAAGCGCCUUCGGGCAAAAUACGUUUUCUAACGGAAACAUUUUCUGUUUUUUUAACUAGCCCCUGAAAAGUUUUUGUUUCAUCACAGAUUAGUCCCUGGACUAAAACCUUUAUAACUUUUAAACAAAAGAUGAUUUUGAGCUGAUUCUUUUUUCUGUCAUCUUUAUUUUUCUAUCUAGCUUUUUAUCAUAUUUAUUUGAAAAAUAUUUGGAACAUUUUUUAUGCACGCACGGUAUUUACGUUAGUAUCUGAUUUUUUUUAUAAUGUAGAUACCGAAGGAGGUGACGGAGCUGCAAACUUCACCGAGCUAGACUCUGACUACUCCGAACCAGGCAAGCAUGUUUGCUUGAGUAGUUUUCUGAUGGCAUGUUUAUAUAAGCAUUAGUGAAUGUUGUAUUGCAUGAAAGGCAAGCUACAAGUGAGUUUCGAAAUUUGAUGUGUUCAUAUGAUGGUGAGAUAACCUGAUCAUGUGGUGGGCAAGUUGGUGUUGUUGAAGCAUGCCAGUCUUAUGUUAACCAUUUAACUCCGGUAUUAACGUGGAUCAAGUCAUGUUCCCGUUCGUCCCCUUUUUUGUGCCACCACAUGUCUUCUGCAAAGAAUGCGGUCUAGUCAGUUGCAAACAUCUUUCCUUGUACACACCAAAUAGAGGGGCCGUGAUGAGGGUUCCAUGGCCCUGGAUUAAAGCCCGUCAUCCGGUCAAGGGCAUGGGUGUUUCCGGUUGGGACCGAGAGGGGGGCACCCCUUAGAGCGCGCGAUAUAAAUUUGAUCCCAUGCUAUUCGAGAUUGUAGCCUCCCCGUCUUAGAGUUUUUCUUGAACGUUGCCUAGGGUGAUUCCUGGCAGCGGAAUGUGGAAUGGGUGUGUACUGGUUAGAUGUGUUUCUUCUAAAAUACCGUAAACGGAACUAGUCCUUUGUGUCUACGGAAAUCCGUUGGUUGUGGGUAAAGAGUACAAACUCUGCAGAGUCAAACCAUUCGAGUAACUGUGUCCAUGGUCAAUGACUGUGAUCAACAUAUCAAUGUAAGUAUCAGUGUCAUUCUCAACGUCCGUCUCAGCAUCAGUCUUAGUGUCAGUCUCAAUGACAAUCUCCGGUGAAUAAACAUGAGUGGUAAACCCGGCUGAAUGUUAUUCCUGUGAAUGGACUAACCAGUUUAUUAUUAUGUACUAAGUAUUUCCUUGGGAUGAUUUAAAUUCGUGAGCUAUUUGAAUUCAAAUAGUGAAAUAUAAGCCCUUUAUGUGAUGUCGCUCAGACGUCCGACUGUGGCAUUCUUGUUAUUUACUUUUGAUAUAAGCCCUUUACGUGAUGUCGCUCAGACGUUCGACUGUGGCAUUCUCGUUAUUUACUUUUGAUAUAAGCCCUUUAUGUGAUGUCGCUCAGACAUCCGACUGUGGCAUCCAUGUUAUUUACUUUUAUUAUAAGCCCUUUUCGAGAUGUCGCUUAGACGUCUGACUGUGGCACGUACUGUCAUUUACAUUUCAAUAUAAGCAAUUUAUGUGGUGUCGCCCUGACGCCCGACUGCGGCAUGUUAAUUUAUUUUUACCUUUCGAGGCAUCGCUUCAGACACCCGAUCGGUCUUCAGUUAUUUUAUUAGGAUUUCGGGAGGACUACCGCCUGACUUCCUUUUUAUUCAACACGCAGUGCAAAAUUUAUUAUCCGAGUGCGCAUUACUAGUUUACUCAUGUGCAUCUUGUUUACAUUUGUUAUAUCUUAUGUCCAAACUGUCUUGCGAGUACAUUCAAAGUACUCACCUGGCUUGUUGAUUUGGCCAGAUGUUGACGAAGGCGGUCUUAUGGAUGAAGAGUACGAUAGCGAGUCCGACGCCUAGAGGAGUCCCAGUCAGUCCCAUGCGAUCCUGGAGUUGGUCACUUGUAUUAUAUACGCUUCCGCUACCCUAAUAAAAAUCAUCGAGCCUCACUCCGGCACUUGAUGAGCUGUAAGAUUUAGGAGUUAUGUCACCCACUUCACUGUGACAUAACCAUCACCACUUUUAUUACGAGUCAGUAGUUAUGCCACCAUACUUAUUGUGCCAUAUCCGCCUUUAUGUAUAAUAUCGGCAUGCUUGUAAUAAAUUGUUGAGCAGUCUCAGCUCAACCCUGUAUAAUAUUUAGUAUUUCUGGAUUUCUGUAUCAAGGAUUUGUCUACCAGUAAAAAGGAUUUUCCUAUGCUGGUCUGAUAGAAUGGUCGAUUUUUCAAUAAAUAUUUUAUUGAAAAACCGGUCCUAGAUUUAUUUGCUAAAAUCGGUGCAUCAAGAACGACGGUGUUGUAUGGUCACAACGUGUGAAGUCUUGGAGGUGAGAAUUACAAGAAAUCAAUAUUGUGAGCUGGCAUUCAGUUAACGCGCACACAGUACAAAGAUUGCAGCUAAACGGAACCUAUGAACCAGGAAGGAACACAUGCAGCAUGCACAUACAAAUUACUGAAAUUUGGAGAGCAUGGUGUUCUGCACCUGACCACAGGAAAGCACCACUAUUUGUUUUGUCAGUAAACGUCAUUAGCUUGUCUAUAUGUAGAUACUUUUUCUUAUAAGAAAAUGCCAUCAGUUUGCCUAUGUGCGAGUCCACUAAAAUAUAUUGCUUGAGAUUUGACUUGGGGCCAUACCACGUCCAUCUUGGACAACUUGCUACUCCCUCCGUCCAGAAUUACUUGUUGCGGAAAUGGAUGUAUAUAAAUCUAGAUACGUCCAUUUCUGCGACGAGUAAUUCCAGACAAAGGGAGUAUAUGGAUUGGAAUGGUGUAAACACACACAUGACAUGACCAAAAAAUGAACGAUUCCUCUGCUGCUGCAUGUUUUCCUUCUAUGUGUGCAAACCUUCUGUUGCUUAUGUGCAGCUUUGCUUGGGCAAAUCUUUUAUUUUUUUUAUGGGUAUAAAAAGACAGUAGAACUCUGUUAGAUAUCUGUCCUUUGUGCAGUUUAAAGUAGCAAGUUUCUUAUUUUGGAAUCAUGAAGAACAGGUCGGAUCUGCCCAAGGAAGCAGCCGCAUAACAGACGAGAGGAGAGUGCUGCAAGCUUUGGACUUGGCAGGAGGAGGGCGUACCUUGGCCCGUGGGGAAGGGGGCCGGAGAUGCGGCAGGUGUCUCGUACGUCGUCGUGGACGG